RNAcentral lists this ribosomal RNA (433 nucleotides) under uncultured bacterium. RNAcentral describes it as "partial 16S ribosomal RNA". It matches the Rfam family "Bacterial small subunit ribosomal RNA", at positions 29 to 507 of the family's 1533-position model. The record is from RNAcentral.
AACGAACGCUGGCGGCAUGCCUAACACAUGCAAGUCGAACGAGACCUUCGGGUCUAGUGGCGCACGGGUGCGUAACGCGUGGGAACCUGCCCUUAGGUUCGGAAUAACUCCCCGAAAGGGGUGCUAAUACCGGAUAAUGUCUUCGGACCAAAGAUUUAUCGCCGUUGGAUGGGCCCGCGUUGGAUUAGCUAGUUGGUAGGGUAAAAGCGUACCAAGGCGACGAUCCAUAGCUGGGCUGAGAGGAUGAUCAGCCACACUGGGAGUGAGACACGGCCCAGACUCCUACGGGAGGGAGCAGUGGGGAAUAUUGGAAAAGGGGCGAAAGCCUGAUCCAGCAAUGCCGCGUGAGUGAUGAAGGCCUGAGGGUUGUAAAGCUCUUUUACCCGGGAUGAUAAUGACAGUACCGGGAGAAUAAGCUCCGGCUAAAUCCGUG